AAAGGUGGUGCAUGGUUGUCCUCAGCUCGUGUCGUGAGAUGUUGGGUUAAGUCCCGCAACGAGCGCAACCCUCGUUCUAUGUUGCCAGCACGUAAUGGUGGGAACUCAUGGGAUACUGCCGGGGUCAACUCGGAGGAAGGUGGGGAUGACGUCAAAUCAUCAUGCCCCUUAUGUCUUGGGCUUCACGCAUGCUACAAUGGCCGGUACAAAGGGCUGCAAUACCGUGAGGUGGAGCAAAUCCCAAAAAGCCGGUCCCAGUUCGGAUUGAGGUCUGCAACUCGACCUCAUGAAGUCGGAGUCGCUAGUAAUCGCAGAU
RNAcentral lists this ribosomal RNA (316 nucleotides) under uncultured Actinomycetes bacterium. RNAcentral describes it as "bacterial SSU rRNA". It matches the Rfam family "Bacterial small subunit ribosomal RNA", at positions 1034 to 1349 of the family's 1533-position model. Lineage: Bacteria; Bacillati; Actinomycetota; Actinomycetes. The record is from RNAcentral.